This is a long non-coding RNA of Helianthus annuus (common sunflower), 457 nucleotides long. RefSeq lists it as uncharacterized. The transcript has 3 exons. Lineage: Eukaryota; Viridiplantae; Streptophyta; Magnoliopsida; Asterales; Asteraceae. The record is from RefSeq and is a predicted model, not a curated record.
GUGUGAUCGAGCAGUAGAAAAGGGGAAGGGGUGUAAACCCUAACCCACAUGAAAUCAUCAAAUUGGAAAUGGAUUUGAGGGUUAAUUGGAUGCAUGAACCAAGAUUUAUGAUCACUCAAGCGUUCUUGACACCAAGAUAGGAAUCCCAAAUUGACAUGGACUCAAGUAUGGAAAGCUAACGGGUCAAGCGGAGGUGAGGAAGCUAGCAUGAACACUAACGCUUAAGGAAUGAGUACAUCGGAUUCUUAUGAAAUUUAAGCCGAAUCCGGAACAAGAGAAGGAGAAGGGUUAUUCGAAUGGAUCAAGUUACAUUAUCGAACGUUAUUCAAUCUUUAAUUAUUUGAGAUUAAUGUUAUAUGAUGUUGUCAUUGACUAAUGGCUAAGUUGUAUGUGAUGCCCACAGGUACUACACGGACUUCUUCUGCUGCUAAGGAAGUGAAGCGGACGUAGAUCGAGU